Molecule: ribosomal RNA, 501 nt
Filed under: uncultured bacterium
Lineage: Bacteria
Description: bacterial SSU rRNA
Rfam family: Bacterial small subunit ribosomal RNA
Source: RNAcentral
GAUGAACGCUAGCGGCAGGCUUAAUACAUGCAAGUCGUGGGGCAGCAGGUUUGUAGCAAUACAGAUGCUGGCGACCGGCAAACGGGUGCGGAACACGUACAGAACCUUCCUUUGAGCGGGGAAUAGCCCAGAGAAAUUUGGAUUAAUACCCCAUAGUAUAAUGAAGUGGCAUCACUUUAUUAUUAAAGAUUUAUCACUCGAAGAUGGCUGUGCGGCUGAUUAGGUAGUUGGCGGGGUAAAGGCCCACCAAGCCUGCGAUCAGUAACUGGUGUGAGAGCACGACCAGUCACACGGGCACUGAGACACGGGCCCGACUCCUACGGGAGGCAGCAGUAAGGAAUAUUGGUCAAUGGAGGCAACUCUGAACCAGCCAUGCCGCGUGGAGGAUGAAGGUCCUCUGGAUUGUAAACUUCUUUAUAUGGACGAAAAAAGGCUUUUCUAAGUCGUCUGACGGUACCAUAUGAAUAAGCACCGGCUAACUCCGUGCCAGCAGCCGUACGG